Molecule: ribosomal RNA, 257 nt
Filed under: uncultured bacterium
Lineage: Bacteria
Description: partial 16S ribosomal RNA
Rfam family: Bacterial small subunit ribosomal RNA
Source: RNAcentral
GUCCACGCCGUAAACGAUGGAUACUAGCUGUUCGGUUGCAAGACUGAGUGGCUAAGCGAAAGUGAUAAGUAUCCCACCUGGGGAGUACGAACGCAAGUUUGAAACUCAAAGGAAUUGACGGGGGCCCGCACAAGCGGUGGAGCAUGUGGUUUAAUUCGAUGAUACGCGAGGAACCUUACCAAGGCUUAAAUGUAGAUUGACCGGUUUGGAAACAGAUCUUUCGCAAGACAAUUUACAAGGUGCUGCAUGGUUGUCGU